UGGGGAAUUUUGGACAAUGGGCGAAAGCCUGAUCCAGCCAUGCCGCGUGUGUGAAGAAGGUCUUCGGAUUGUAAAGCACUUUAAGUUGGGAGGAAGGGUACUUACCUAAUACGUGAGUAUUUUGACGUUACCGACAGAAUAAGCACCGGCUAACUCUGUGCCAGCAGCCGCGGUAAUACAGAGGGUGCAAGCGUUAAUCGGAAUUACUGGGCGUAAAGCGCGCGUAGGUGGUUUGUUAAGUUGGAUGUGAAAGCCCCGGGCUCAACCUGGGAACUGCAUCCAAAAAUGGCAAGCUAGGGUAUGGUAGAGGGCGGUGGAAUUUCCUGUGUAGCGGUGAAAUGCGUAGAUAUAGGAAGGAACACCAGUUGCGAAGGCGACCACCUGGACUGAUACUGACACUGAGGUGCGAAAGCGUGGGGAGCAAACA
Molecule: ribosomal RNA, 427 nt
Filed under: uncultured bacterium
Lineage: Bacteria
Description: bacterial SSU rRNA
Rfam family: Bacterial small subunit ribosomal RNA
Source: RNAcentral